This 692-nucleotide ribosomal RNA is filed under the name Thanatephorus cucumeris. RNAcentral's name for it is "eukaryotic LSU rRNA". The stretch from base 249 to 402 matches the Rfam family "5.8S ribosomal RNA". Lineage: Eukaryota; Fungi; Basidiomycota; Agaricomycetes; Cantharellales; Ceratobasidiaceae. The record is from RNAcentral.
UCCGUAGGUGAACCUGCGGAAGGAUCAUUAUUGAAUUUAAUGAAGGGAUAUUUGGUUGUAGCUGGCUCAUGAAUUUGGGCAUGUGCACACCUAUCUCUUUCAUCCACACACACCUGUGCACUUGUGAGGCAGAUGGGGAAUUUAUUGAUUGUUUUUUAAGAACAAUUGGUGCUGGACCCUCUGUCUACUCAAUACAUAAACUCAAUUUAUUUAGAAAUGAAUGUAAUGGAUGUAACGCAUCUAAUACUAAGUUUCAACAACGGAUCUCUUGGCUCUCGCAUCGAUGAAGAACGCAGCGAAAUGCGAUAAGUAAUGUGAAUUGCAGAAUUCAGUGAAUCAUCGAAUCUUUGAACGCACCUUGCGCUCCUUGGUAUUCCUUGGAGCAUGCCUGUUUGAGUAUCAUGAAACCUUCAAAGUAAAUCUUUUGUUAACUCAAUUGGUUCUACUUUGGUAUUGGAGGUCUUUGCAGCUUCACACCUGCUCCUCUUUGUUCAUUAGCUGGAUCUCAGUGUUAUGCUUGGUUCCACUCAGCGUGAUAAGUUAUCUAUCGCUGAGGACACUGUAACAGGUGGCCAAGGGAAAUGCAGAUGAACCGCUUCUAAUAGUCCAUUGACUUGGACACUAUUUUUAUGAUCUGAUCUCAAAUCAGGUAGGACUACCCGCUGAACUUAAGCAUAUCAAUAAGCGGAGGA